CUGACAGCCCUGGGAGACUGAAAGCCCUGUGUUUAUCCCCAGCAUGGAUACAACACAUCUAGCAAAAAAAGAAGCUCUCCAUGAGCUACUCUGUCAAUGUAUUUCAGCCCUGAUCUACUGAGACAGAAAAGCAUUCAGGACACUAGGAGUUAUUGUAGUCAUCCAGGCUAUGCAGUCCUUUGUCUUU
RNAcentral lists this small RNA (187 nucleotides) under Coturnix japonica (Japanese quail). Its description in RNAcentral is "TUC338 (ENSCJPG00005009113.1)". The record is from RNAcentral. Lineage: Eukaryota; Metazoa; Chordata; Aves; Galliformes; Phasianidae.